CAAGUCGAGCGGUAACAGGAAUAGCUUGCUAUUUGCUGACGAGCGGCGGACGGGUGAGUAAAGCGUAGGAAUCUGCCUAGUAGAGGGGGACAACAUGUGGAAACGCAUGCUAAUACCGCAUAAUCCCUUCGGGGGAAAGGAGGGGACCUUUUGGCCUUCCGCUAUUAGAUGAGCCUGCGUGAGAUUAGCUAGUUGGUAGGGUAAAGGCCUACCAAGGCGACGAUCUCUAGCUGGUCUGAGAGGAUGAUCAGCCACACUGGGACUGAGACACGGCCCAGACUCCUACGGGAGGCAGCAGUGGGGAAUAUUGGACAAUGGGGGCAACCCUGAUCCAGCCAUACCGCGUGUGUGAAGAAGGCCUUAGGGUUGUAAAGCACUUUCAGAAGUGAGAAAAGGUUGUCGGUUAAUACCCGAUAAUUUUGAUGUUAGCUUCAGAAGAAGCACCGGCUAACUCUGUGCCAGCAGCCGCGGUAAUACAGAGGGUGCGAGCGUUAAUCGGAAUUACUGGGCGUAAAGCGCGCGUAGGUGGUUUGUUAAGUCGGAUGUGAAACCCCCGGGCUCAACCUGGGACUUGCACCCGAUACUGGCAGGCUAGAGUACGAUAGAGGAGUGUGGAAUUUCCUGUGUAGCGGUGAAAUGCGUAGAUAUAGGAAGGAACAUCAGUGGCGAAGGCGACACU
This 679-nucleotide ribosomal RNA is filed under the name Marinomonas sp. RNAcentral's name for it is "bacterial SSU rRNA". It matches the Rfam family "Bacterial small subunit ribosomal RNA", at positions 58 to 728 of the family's 1533-position model. The record is from RNAcentral. Lineage: Bacteria; Pseudomonadati; Pseudomonadota; Gammaproteobacteria; Oceanospirillales; Oceanospirillaceae.